AUUGAACGCUGGCGGCAUGCUUUACACAUGCCAGUCGAACGGUAACAGGUUAAGCUGACGCGUGGCGAACGGGUGAGUAAUGCAUCGGUACGUGCCCGAUCGUGGGGGAUAACGCAGCGAAAGCUGCGCUAAUACCGCAUACGAUCUGAGGUUGAAAGCUGAGGCCCGUAAGGCCUGGCUGAAUCGGACCGGCCGAUGUCAGAUUAGGUAGUUGGCGGGGUAAAGGCUCACCAGGCCGACGAUCUCUAACUGGUCUGAGAGGACGACCAGCCACACUGGGGUGGAGCAACGGCCCAGACUCCUACGGGAGGAAGCAGUGGGGAAUUUUGGACAAUGGGCGAAAGCCUGAUCCAGCAAUGCCGCGUGCAGGAAGAAGUCUUUCGGGUUGUAAACUGCUUUUGUACGGAGCGAAAAGGCUCUCUCUAAUACAGGGGGCUAAUGACGGUACCGUAAGAAUAAGCACCGGCUAACUACGUG
RNAcentral lists this ribosomal RNA (477 nucleotides) under uncultured bacterium. RNAcentral describes it as "partial 16S ribosomal RNA". It matches the Rfam family "Bacterial small subunit ribosomal RNA", at positions 30 to 507 of the family's 1533-position model. The record is from RNAcentral.